Molecule: ribosomal RNA, 549 nt
Filed under: uncultured bacterium
Lineage: Bacteria
Description: bacterial SSU rRNA
Rfam family: Bacterial small subunit ribosomal RNA
Source: RNAcentral
AAUAGAUACCCAGGUAGUCCACGCCGUAAACGAUGGAUGCUAGCUGUUAUGCGUAUCGACCCGUGUAGUAGCGAAGCUAACGCGUUAAGCAUCCCGCCUGGGGAGUACGAACGCAAGUUUAAAACUCAAAGGAAUUGACGGGGACCCGCACAAGCGGUGGAGCGUGUUCUUUAAUUCGAGGCUAAGCGAAGAACCUUACCAGGGCUUGACAUCCUUGGAAUUUCUCCGAAAGGAGAGAGUACUUUAUUGGACCAAGUGACAGGUGCUGCAUGGCCGUCGUCAGCUCGUGUCGUGAGAUGUUUGGUUAAGUCCAUUAACGAGCGCAACCCUUAUGAAUAGUUGUAUUUUUCUAUUCAGACUGCCCCGGUAACGGGGAGGAAGGGGGGGAUGAUGUCAGGUCAGUAUUGCCCUUACGCCCUGGGCUAGAAACGCGCUACAAUGGCCGGUACAAUGCGCUGCCAACCCGCGAGGGGGAGCAAAUCGCAUCAAAGCCGGUCCCAGUUCGGAUAAGAGGCUGAAACUCGCCUCUUUGAAGCCGGAAUCGCUAGU